RNAcentral lists this transfer RNA (63 nucleotides) under Proteomonas sulcata. RNAcentral describes it as "partial tRNA". Lineage: Eukaryota; Cryptophyceae; Pyrenomonadales; Geminigeraceae. The record is from RNAcentral.
CUUAAACCUUUUCAUAGGUUUAACCAAUCCUAAAUCGACAGAAUUCCCAUCUUUAAAUUUCCA